RNAcentral lists this ribosomal RNA (406 nucleotides) under Salmonella enterica subsp. enterica serovar Oranienburg. Its description in RNAcentral is "partial 23S ribosomal RNA". It matches the Rfam family "Bacterial large subunit ribosomal RNA", at positions 2543 to 2925 of the family's 2925-position model. The record is from RNAcentral. Lineage: Bacteria; Pseudomonadati; Pseudomonadota; Gammaproteobacteria; Enterobacterales; Enterobacteriaceae. RNAcentral also lists the same sequence under 1 other name.
CAUCCUGGGGCUGAAGCAGGUCCCAAGGGUAUGGCUGUUCGCCAUUUAAAGAGGUACGCGAGCUGGGUUUAGAACGUCGUGAGACAGUUCGGUCCCUAUCUACCGUGGGCGUUGGAAAUUUGAGAGGAUCUGCUCCUAGUACGAGAGGACCAGAGUGGACGAACCUCUGGUGUACCGGUUGUCACGCCAGUGGCAUCGCCGGGUAGCUAUGUUCGGAAGGGAUAACCGCUGAAAGCAUCUAAGCGGGAAGCCUACCUCAAGAUAAGAUUUCCCCGAGACUUUAUGUCUCCUAAAGAGCCGUUGAAGACUACGACGUUGAUAGGUUGGAUGUGGAAGCAUAGUGAUAUGUGAAGCUGACCAAUACUAAUUGCUCGUGAGGCUUGACUAUACAACACCCAAACAGUUG